CAGCCGCCGCGGGAAUACGAAGGGUGCAAGCGUUACUCGGAAUUACUGGGCGUAAAGCGUGCGUAGGUGGUGGUUUAAGUCCGUUGUGAAAGCCCUGGGCUCAACCUGGGAAUUGCAGUGGAUACUGGGUCACUAGAGUGUGGUAGAGGAUAGUGGAAUUUCCGGUGUAGCAGUGAAAUGCGUAGAGAUCGGAAGGAACAUCUGUGGCGAAGGCGACUAUCUGGGCCAACACUGACACUGAGGCACGAAAGCGUGGGGAGCAAACAGGAUUAGAUACCCGAGUAGUCCCUGUCUCUAUACC
RNAcentral lists this ribosomal RNA (301 nucleotides) under uncultured bacterium. Its description in RNAcentral is "partial 16S ribosomal RNA". It matches the Rfam family "Bacterial small subunit ribosomal RNA", at positions 509 to 808 of the family's 1533-position model. The record is from RNAcentral.